GACGAACGCUGGCGGCGUGCUUAACACAUGCAAGUCGAACGUAAAGGCCCUGCUUUUGUUGGGUUCUCGAGUGGCGAACGGGUGAGUAACACGUGAGUAACCUGCCCUUGACUUUGUGAUAACUUCAGUAAACUGGGUCUCAUACCGGAUAGGAGCUCCUGCUGCAUGGUGGGGGUUGGAAAGUUUCAGCGGUUGGGGAUGUACUCGCGGCUUAUCAGCUUGUUGGUGGGGUAGUGGCUUACCAAGGCUUUGACGGGUAGCCGGCCUGAGAGGGUGAACGGAGACAAGGCGACUAAGAUACGCCCCAGAAAGCUACGGGAGGCAAGAGGAGGGAAUAUUACGGAAAAAACGGGAGACAGAAACAGAAACGCGGGGAGAGGGAAAAUGGAUUACGGGGUAUAAACCGAUGUCGAAAGAAAUGAAGCGAGAGUGACGGUAAAGGGUAAGAAAGCAACGGCUAACUACGUG
This 468-nucleotide ribosomal RNA is filed under the name uncultured bacterium. Its description in RNAcentral is "partial 16S ribosomal RNA". It matches the Rfam family "Bacterial small subunit ribosomal RNA", at positions 28 to 507 of the family's 1533-position model. The record is from RNAcentral.